ACUGCCUACACGUGGCUUCCCGAAAAUCAGUCACUGGGGAGAAGUCAACAAUGAUUGGGCGUCCUGCAUAAAAUCUUCCUGUAAGAUUCUGAAGCGCACUUGCAGCGUGAUCUUCCUCUCUGAACUGGACAUACACAUUACCAACCAUGUGGUCAGCUAAAUUGUCACAGAUGUUGAGGUUUUCAAUCUCUCCAUACUUGCUAAGCUCUUCAAAUAAAUCUUCAUAGAAGUCCUCGAAGUGACGCUGGAUCUGGCGAGGGUCAA
Molecule: unclassified non-coding RNA, 264 nt
Filed under: Hevea brasiliensis (rubber tree)
Lineage: Eukaryota; Viridiplantae; Streptophyta; Magnoliopsida; Malpighiales; Euphorbiaceae
Source: RNAcentral